Molecule: ribosomal RNA, 253 nt
Filed under: uncultured bacterium
Lineage: Bacteria
Description: partial 16S ribosomal RNA
Rfam family: Bacterial small subunit ribosomal RNA
Source: RNAcentral
UACGUAGGGGGCGAGCGUUGUCCGGAUUUAUUGGGCGUAAAGAGCUCGUAGGCGGUUUGGUAAGUCGGAUGUGAAAUCUCCAGGCUCAACCUGGGAACUGCAGUGAGGACUGGAUGGCUGGAGUGUGGCAGAGGGGGGUGGAAUUCCACGUGUAGCAGUGAAAUGCGUAGAGAUGUGGAGGAACACCGAUGGCGAAGGCAGCCCCCUGGGCUAACACUGACGCUCAGGCACGAAAGCGUGGGGAGCAAACAGG